This 490-nucleotide long non-coding RNA is filed under the name Pan troglodytes (chimpanzee). Its description in RNAcentral is "long non-coding RNA NONPTRT013180". The record is from RNAcentral. Lineage: Eukaryota; Metazoa; Chordata; Mammalia; Primates; Hominidae.
GCCGACGCACCUCUCCGACGUGGGCGGAGAUGCAGGGAACCACCACGUUGUACGGCAACCAACGUGCCGCCCCUCUGUGGGCGGGGAUUCACACUAGCUGUCUGUGUCAAGGCCACGGAGAAAUCUAUUGGAAAUCGCUGUGGAAACAAACGCAAAUGAAAAGCCGCAAAGAGCAAAGGAAUUGGCUCAUGUGAUUAAGGCAGAGAGGCCCUGCAAUCUGCCAUCUGCAAGCUGGAAAACCAGGACAGCUGGUGGUAUAAGCCCUAGUCUGAGUCCAGAGUCCCAAGAACCAGGAGUGCUGAUAUUCAAGAACAGAGACCAUGAAUGUCCCAGCUUAAGCAGAGAGAAAAUUCACUCUCCUCCGCAUGUUUUUCUAUUCAGACCCUCAACAAAUUGGAUGAUACUCACCUACAUUGUGAAGGCAAUCUUCUUUACUUAGUGUACUGAUUCCAAUGCCAAUCUUUUCUGAAACCACCUUCACAGACCCACA